Long non-coding RNA from Gigantopelta aegis, 623 nucleotides. RefSeq lists it as uncharacterized. The record is from RefSeq and is a predicted model, not a curated record. The transcript is spliced from 4 exons. NCBI's taxonomy places the organism in Eukaryota, Metazoa, Mollusca, Gastropoda, Neomphalida, Peltospiridae.
UAUUAAUAAACGAGGCAGCCCCAAAGUAGUCGAUAUUUUCUUAUUUAAUAUCAGUGUUUCCAGUCUGGGGACAAACUUGCUGGUGUCACCAGAGAGAAGCUCGGCGGUUUACCUUCAGUACUCUCCAUUAGCGGAUACGUCUAUUUGCGGCAGUUGUAACACCACUAAACGUAUUACCGACACAGAGGAUUGUCCGAUAUUUCAGAAGAAAAUUGAGAGAUAGCCUACAUCCACAGUUUCAGAGUUUAACAGAAAAAUAUUUAUUCCACAAAUCAACUUUGCCGUAACGUAACCAAAGCGUCCCACAUGGCAGGUCUAAGAGUCUGUUUACUGCUGGUGAUGACGUCGUGUUUGCUGCUUUCAAAACCUGUAGAUGGACUCACCUCUCAGCAGUUGUGCACCAUAAUGUGCGCCAGAGGGAUUUGUCCCCCAGGCUGCAAUGGUGCUGACCUGAUCGACUGGAACAAAAGAAGUCUUGAUCACUUUGAUGAUCUCAGCGACGAACAAGGGGUUCCAAAUUGAAGGCGUGAGGCGUAUGAUUGCCAGGGUGAUUGGUUCCGGAAAUCAUCUGAUUGGCUAAUCACAGACGUGUAUCAGUGAUUUGAAUUAAAAAUAAAAUCGAC